AUUGAACGCUGGCGGCAUGCCUUACACAUGCAAGUCGAACGGCAGCACGGGAGCAAUCCUGGUGGCGAGUGGCGAACGGGUGAGUAACAUAUCGGAACGUGCCCAGUAAUGGGGGAUAGCCCGGCGAAAGCCGGAUUAAUACCGCAUACGACCUACGGGUGAAAGCGGGGGAUCGCAAGACCUCGCGUUAUUGGAGCGGCCGAUAUCAGAUUAGCUAGUUGGUGGGUAAAGCCUACCAAGGCGACGAUCUGUAGCUGGUCUGAGAGGACGACCAGCCACACUGGGACUGAGACACGGCCCAGACUCCUACGGGAGGCAGCAGUGGGGAAUUUUGGACAAUGGGCGCAAGCCUGAUCCAGCCAUGCCGCGUGUGGGAAGAAGGCCU
Molecule: ribosomal RNA, 385 nt
Filed under: uncultured bacterium
Lineage: Bacteria
Description: bacterial SSU rRNA
Rfam family: Bacterial small subunit ribosomal RNA
Source: RNAcentral